RNAcentral lists this long non-coding RNA (1451 nucleotides) under Pogona vitticeps (central bearded dragon). Its description in RNAcentral is "lncRNA (ENSPVIG00000018111.1)". Lineage: Eukaryota; Metazoa; Chordata; Lepidosauria; Squamata; Agamidae. The record is from RNAcentral.
CAAAAUAACCAGACAAACUACAUAUACCUGAAACUCAGAGAACGAACAUCACCUCUAGAUACAACCUGUCACAGCAGUACUCCUAAAAAUGUUUACAUCUAUUUAAGCUUGAAGUUCCAAAGUGUUCAAACCAUUUUGUCUGUCCAUUGUAAACUUUGGCUCUGCCCCUCUGAGAAACGGAUGGGGUCCCCUCUGCUAAACAAUCAACCCAAAGUAGCGGCUCUCGCCCAGGGUGCCAAGGCGGGGUGAGCAGGAGACCCUCUUCGCCGGCGACCCUGCUGCCGCUGCCCCUUAAAACCCGAAGGGUACAGCCUGACCCUAACGGGGACGUCCUUCCAUUCGCAAAGAGGGCGCCCCGCCGAACGAAGGCGCUCCAGUUAGGCAACAGCAGCGGAGGAACCACGGCUUCGCGCCGCCCCCCUCCACCCCCACUUGCCUCUUCCCAUUCUCCCGCGUUAAGCAUGUGCGAAGACCGGCUUGGCCCCCCAGUCCUCGGAGGUCCUCAUUAGGCAACAGCAGCGGAGGAACCAGGGCUUCGCGCCGCCCCCCUCCGCCCCCACUUGCCUCUUCCCAUUCUUAAGCAUGUGCGAAGACCCGCUUGGCCCCCCAGUCCUCGGAGGUCCUCACAAUCCCGAUUCCUGCCUGCCCCCGUUCCCAAGGCCCUGAGAAAAGGCCCUACGACUCGGGCCAAAGGGGACCCGAGCGAGGCCGCCGCUGGGUUUCCGGAGGCCCAGCCCGGACGGCAGCCAACGACACCUCCCUCUUCGCCGUCCAGGCCUCCCUCAUCUUCGGACGAUCCCCGCCCUCCCGGGCGAAGCGCUCCCAGAGACAGAUGGCGGCGGAUAGAAACCAAGACACUUACUGUCCACGGCGAGCAGGUCGCAAGAUGGCUGCAGAAAGAGAGCGAGAGGCGGGGGAGAAAGGCAACUUCCGGGCUGAGGGAGAACAGCUUCCGGGUCCCUCCGGGGGGGGCCUUGGCGCGUCAGCCCGCUGCGCCUCCUUCCUCUUGGGCGUCGCGUUCGGCGAGGCGGCCCUCGGUGUUUCAGGGCGAGGGCGGGAGAGGGGGAAGAACCUCCGCGACGCCCAGAGGGCCGCCUCCUGUGGGCCCGGUGCCGCGGGGGAGCCGGGGAGAGGGAGCCGGUUGGGUAGUAAGUGCAGAGAAUGAAUGCCAGGGCUUGCCAGGAGUGUCGCGAACCGGAGCACAAGGGCUUGCCGAAGCCUCGAGGCGCCUGUCGCCCGAGCACAACCGGCGGAACUCAGGGGGGGCUUCCGUCGGAGUGGAGGGCGUGGAUACGAUUGCGUUGGGACAGCUCCGUGGUGUCUCAGAGGGCUUACGUUGCGAGCCGAUGUUGUCUUAUGAGAUUGCAUUCAUUUUGUCCUGGCUUUUUUUAAAAACUUGGCAUGAUGUCCAAAAUGGAAGACUAAAAGCUUUCAAGAACUGCUUGUGGUAA